RNAcentral lists this long non-coding RNA (224 nucleotides) under Carica papaya (papaya). Its description in RNAcentral is "long non-coding RNA (CPAP_LNC012761)". Lineage: Eukaryota; Viridiplantae; Streptophyta; Magnoliopsida; Brassicales; Caricaceae. The record is from RNAcentral.
UCGCGUACGGACGACCCAGACUGGAUCGCGAUGAACGGCCUAGAUUCAUUUCCUAUUUAAUUGCAAUCGGAUGGUCCAGAUCAAAAGCGGAUGGGUAUAAAUAACCCUAUCCACACCCAAACCCUAACCUUAGUCGCUAAAAUCCAUCACCAUAGAAGACAACCCAGCCGCCGGGGAGCCGACCACCGCCACCCGCCACCGCACUGGAACCCUUUCUGACUGCU